CGCAUACAUAAUGACAAAAAAUACGCUUAUGUAAGAGGAACAGUUGGCCGAGUGGCUGGAGCCUUGUGCCUUGUGCCUUGUGCUACGGUGCCGCACGCCAUCUGUUCAAUACCCGGCGGAUUACUUGCUGUAAUUAGCAAACACAGUCAAUUAAGACAGGGAAAGUCCAUCUUGAUUAGCUUUGCUUAGAGAGAUUUCCUGGGCAAGGAAGAAGAGUGCGUAGUGAGAAUAACGACAUAUGGUGCAUUAUUUAAACUGAUAAAAUACGCAUACAUAAUGACAAAAAAUACGCUUAUCUAAGAGGAACAGUUGGCCGAGUGGCUGGAGCCUUGUGCCUUGUGCCUUGUGCUACGGUGCCGCACGCCAUCUGUUCAAUACCCGGGUAAGACUUUUUUUAUUUUUUAUUUUUAACGAAGUUUUAUGAAGUAGGAAAAUAUUAUAUACAAGAUUUAGUAAGUUUAAUUUAAAAAAUUUCUAUUCUUAACGCAAUUUUUUUUGUGAGAGUUUUAACAGAUCCAUUUAAGUGAUUUUACUAUUGUUUGUUUUUCUCAUUAUUUAGCGGAUUACUUGCUGUAAUUAGCAAACACAGUCAAUUAAGACAGGGCAAGUCCAUCUUGAUUAGCUUUGCUUAGAGAGAUUUCCUGGGCAAGGAAGAAGAGUGCGUAGUGAGAAUAACCACAUAUGGUGCAUUAUUUAAACUGAUAAAAUACGCAUACAUAAUGACAAAAAAAACGCUUAUCUAAGAGGAACAGUUGGCCGAGUGGCUGGAGCCUUGUGCCUUGUGCCUUGUGCUACGGUGCCGCACGCCAUCUGUUCAAUACCCGGCGGAUUACUUGCUGUAAUUAGCAAACACAGUCAAUUAAGACAGGGCAAGUCCAUCUUGAUUAGCUUUGCUUAGAGAGAUUUCCUGGGCAAGGAAGAAGAGUGCGUAGUGAGAAUAACCACAUAUGGUGCAUUAUUUAAACUGAUAAAAUACGCAUACAUAAUGACAAAAAAAACGCUUAUCUAAGAGGAACAGUUGGCCGAGUGGCUGGAGCCUUGUGCCUUGUGCCUUGUGCUACGGUGCCGCACGCCAUCUGUUCAAUACCCGGCGGAUUACUUGCUGUAAUUAGCACACACAGUCAAUUAAGACAGGGCAAGUCCAUCUUGAUUAGCUUUGCUUAGAGAGAUUUCCUGGGCAAGGAAGAAGAGUGCGUUGUGAGAAUAACGACAUAUGGUGCAUUAUUUAAACUGAUAAAAUACGCAUACAUAAUGACAAAAAAAACGCUUAUGUAAGAGGAACAGUUGGCCGAGUGGCUGGAGCCUUGUGCCUUGUGCCUUGUGCUACGGUGCCGCACGCCAUCUGUUCAAUACCCGGCGGAUUACUUGCUGUAAUUAGCAAACACAGUCAAUUAAGACAGGGCAAGUCCAUCUUGAUUAGCUUUGCUUAGAGAGAUUUCCUGGGCAAGGAAGAAGAGUGCGUAGUGAGAAUAACCACAUAUGGUGCAUUAUUUAAACUGAUAAAAUACGCAUACAUAAUGACAAAAAAAACGCUUAUCUAAGAGGAACAGUUGGCCGAGUGGCUGGAGCCUUGUGCCUUGUGCCUUGUGCUACGGUGCCGCACGCCAUCUGUUCAAUACCCGGCGGAUUACUUGCUGUAAUUAGCACACACAGUCAAUUAAGACAGGGCAAGUCCAUCUUGAUUAGCUUUGCUUAGAGAGAUUUCCUGGGCAAGGAAGAAGAGUGCGUAGUGAGAAUAACCACAUAUGGUGCAUUAUUUAAACUGAUAAAAUUCGCAUACAUAAUGACAAAAAAACGCUUAUCUAAGAGGAACAGUUGGCCGAGUGGCUGGAGCCUUGUGCCUUGUGCCUUGUGCUACGGUGCCGCACGCCAUCUGUUCAAUACCCGGGUAAGACUUUUUUUAUUUUUAAUUUUUAAGGAAGUUUUAUGAAGUAGGAAAAUACUAUAUACAAGAUUUAGUAAGUUUAAUUUAAAAAAUUUCUAUUCUAAACGCAAUUUUUUUUGUGAGAGUUUUAACAGAUCCAUUUAAGUGAUUUUACUAUUGUUUGUUUUUCUCAUUAUUUAGCGGAUUACUUGCUGUAAUUAGCAAACACAGUCAAUUAAGACAGGGAAAGUCCAUCUUGAUUAGCUUUGCUUAGAGAGAUUUCCUGGGCAAGGAAGAAGAGUGCGUAGUGAGAAUAACGACAUAUGGUGCAUUAUUUAAACUGAUAAAAUACGCAUACAUAAUGACAAAAAAUACGCUUAUGUAAGAGGAACAGUUGGCCGAGUGGCUGGAGCCUUGUGCCUUGUGCCUUGUGCUACGGUGCCGCACGCCAUCUGUUCAAUACCCGGGUAAGACUUUUUUUAUUUUUAAUUUUUAAGGAAGUUUUAUGAAGUAGGAAAAUAUUAUAUACAAGAUUUAGUAAGUUUAAUUUAAAAAAUUUCUAUUCUUAACGCAAUUUUUUUUGUGAGAGUUUUAACAGAUCCAUUUAAGUGAUUUUACUAUUGUUUGUUUUUCUCAUUAUUUAGCGGAUUACUUGCUGUAAUUAGCAAACACAGUCAAUUAAGACAGGGCAAGUCCAUCUUGAUUAGCUUUGCUUAGAGAGAUUUCCUGGGCAAGGAAGAAGAGUGCGUAGUGAGAAUAACCACAUAUGGUGCAUUAUUUAAACUGAUAAAAUACGCAUACAUAAUGACAAAAAAAACGCUUAUCUAAGAGGAACAGUUGGCCGAGUGGCUGGAGCCUUGUGCCUUGUGCCUUGUGCUACGGUGCCGCACGCCAUCUGUUCAAUACCCGGCGGAUUACUUGCUGUAAUUAGCACACACAGUCAAUUAAGACAGGGCAAGUCCAUCUUGAUUAGCUUUGCUUAGAGAGAUUUCCUGGGCAAGGAAGAAGAGUGCGUAGUGAGAAUAACCAUAUAUGGUGCAUUAUUUAAACUGAUAAAAUACGCAUACAUAAUGACAAAAAAAACGCUUAUCUAAGAGGAACAGUUGGCCGAGUGGCUGGAGCCUUGUGCCUUGUGCCUUGUGCUACGGUGCCGCACGCCAUCUGUUCAAUACCCGGCGGAUUACUUGCUGUAAUUAGCACACUUAGUCAAUUAAGACAGGGCAAGUCCAUCUUGAUUAGCUUUGCUUAGAGAGAUUUCCUGGGCAAGGAAGAAGAGUGCGUAGUGAGAAUAACCACAUAUGGUGCAUUAUUUAAACUGAUAAAAUACGCAUACAUAAUGACAAAAAAAACGCUUAUCUAAGAGGAACAGUUGGCCGAGUGGCUGGAGCCUUGUGCCUUGUGUCUUGUGCUACGGUGCCGCACGCCUUCUGUUCAAUACCCAGGUAAGCGUUUUUUUUUUUUUAAGGAAGUUUUCUGAAGUUGGAAAAUAUUAUAUACAUGAUUUUGUCAAUUUAAUAAACAGAUUUUCCUGUUCUAGACGCAAUUUUUUUUUCUGUGCAAGUUUUAAAAGAUCCAUUUAACUUUUGUUUGUUUUCCUCAUUCUUUAGCGGAUUACUUGCUGUAAUUCGCACAUACAGUCAAUCAAGACAGGGCAAGACCAUCUUGAUUGAAUUUGCAUAGAGAGAUUACCUUGGCAAGGAAUAAGUUUGAGUAUAGUGAGAAUAACCAUAUUUUGUCCGUUAUAGACUAAACUGAUUAAAAUACGCAUAUAUAAUGACCAAAAAUUCGCUUAACUAAGAGGAA
This is a long non-coding RNA of Daphnia pulex (common water flea), 3667 nucleotides long. RefSeq lists it as uncharacterized. The record is from RefSeq and is a predicted model, not a curated record. NCBI's taxonomy places the organism in Eukaryota, Metazoa, Arthropoda, Branchiopoda, Diplostraca, Daphniidae. The transcript has 8 exons.